Molecule: transfer RNA, 86 nt
Filed under: Klebsiella michiganensis
Lineage: Bacteria; Pseudomonadati; Pseudomonadota; Gammaproteobacteria; Enterobacterales; Enterobacteriaceae
Description: tRNA-Ser
Source: RNAcentral
AGUUGCUUGAAGUUUGGCUAAACGCGCGGCCUGGAAAGUGUGUAUACGGCAACGUAUCGGGGGUUCGAAUCCCCCCCUCACCGCCA